This 521-nucleotide ribosomal RNA is filed under the name uncultured Pseudomonas sp. RNAcentral describes it as "bacterial SSU rRNA". It matches the Rfam family "Bacterial small subunit ribosomal RNA", at positions 8 to 524 of the family's 1533-position model. Lineage: Bacteria; Pseudomonadati; Pseudomonadota; Gammaproteobacteria; Pseudomonadales; Pseudomonadaceae. The record is from RNAcentral.
AGAGUUUGAUCAUGGCUCAGAUUGAACGCUGGCGGCAGGCCUAACACAUGCAAGUCGAGCGGUAGAGAGAAGCUUGCUUCUCUUGAGAGCGGCGGACGGGUGAGUAAUGCCUAGGAAUCUGCCUGGUAGUGGGGGAUAACGUUCGGAAACGGACGCUAAUACCGCAUACGUCCUACGGGAGAAAGCAGGGGACCUUCGGGCCUUGCGCUAUCAGGUGAGCCUAGGUCGGAUUAGCUAGUUGGUGGGGUAAUGGCUCACCAAGGCGACGAUCCGUAACUGGUCUGAGAGGAUGAUCAGUCACACUGGAACUGAGACACGGUCCAGACUCCUACGGGAGGCAGCAGUGGGGAAUAUUGGACAAUGGGCGAAAGCCUGAUCCAGCCAUGCCGCGUGUGUGAAGAAGGUCUUCGGAUUGUAAAGCACUUUAAGUUGGGAGGAAGGGCAGUAAAUUAAUACUUUGCUGUUUUGACGUUACCGACAGAAUAAGCACCGGCUAACUCUGUGCCAGCAGCCGCGGUAAU